AUACCUAGCUACUGUUUUUUUUAGCGUGUUUACUUUCGUGGCCAACCAAAAUAGGUGACAAAAAAUCGGAAAAAAAUUGACGUCGCUUGGCAGUUUCUUAAUAAAUUAAUGAUAAAAACCUGCUCAUUCAGUUCCAAAGUGCCCGCGGCCUGAUCUGUUUGAAUAGAAGCGCUGCCGUGGAUGCAACUUCGACGCGAGUGAGAAAACCUCCGCUCGGCCACCGGGAAAAUCGUUGCUGCUUCAGUCAACCAGAAACAACCGGAAUUGUAAACGAUGACCGAAAACGGACCAGUCGAACCUGCGGCCACUACCAGAGAUGUGAAAAACAUCAAAACGCGAUUGAGGAUCGUAAAAGAGACUUGCAGCAGCAAGAUUGAUGCGAGAGAAGCUAAAAUACCGUGAAGAGCCGAAACAAGCAUUUAGUGAAUGUAUUUUAAUUAUUAAGUUCAAGAACAUAUUAGUGUAUAAGAAAGUGUUCAAAGUUUUUAGUUUUUUAGUUUGAAGAAAAAAAAUUAAAAAAUAAAAGGAACAAGUUAUCAAA
This is a long non-coding RNA of Aedes aegypti (yellow fever mosquito), 541 nucleotides long. RefSeq lists it as uncharacterized. The record is from RefSeq and is a predicted model, not a curated record. Lineage: Eukaryota; Metazoa; Arthropoda; Insecta; Diptera; Culicidae. The transcript is spliced from 2 exons.